GCUCAUAUAGCUCAGUCGGUAGAGCACUUCCUUGGUAAGGAAGAGGUCCCGGAUUCAAGUUCCGGUAUGAGCUCCA
This 76-nucleotide transfer RNA is filed under the name Candidatus Cloacimonadota bacterium. RNAcentral describes it as "tRNA-Thr". It matches the Rfam family "tRNA". From Rfam's summary of the family: Transfer RNA (tRNA) molecules are approximately 80 nucleotides in length. Lineage: Bacteria; Pseudomonadati; Candidatus Cloacimonadota. The record is from RNAcentral.